AACGUAGGUCACAAGCGUUGUCCGGAAUUACUGGGUGUAAAGGGAGCGCAGGCGGGAAGACAAGUUGGAAGUGAAAUCUAUGGGCUCAACCCAUAAACUGCUUUCAAAACUGUUUUUCUUGAGUAGUGCAGAGGUAGGCGGAAUUCCCGGUGUAGCGGUGGAAUGCGUAGAUAUCGGGAGGAACACCAGUGGCGAAGGCGGCCUACUGGACACCAACUGACGCUGAGGCUCGAAAGUGUGGGUAGCAAACAGG
RNAcentral lists this ribosomal RNA (253 nucleotides) under Faecalibacterium prausnitzii. Its description in RNAcentral is "partial 16S ribosomal RNA". It matches the Rfam family "Bacterial small subunit ribosomal RNA", at positions 524 to 776 of the family's 1533-position model. Lineage: Bacteria; Bacillati; Bacillota; Clostridia; Eubacteriales; Oscillospiraceae. The record is from RNAcentral.